GGGCUUGCAUGGGCAGCACAUAUACUAAAAUUGGAAUGAUACAGAGAAGAUUAGCAUGGAUCCUGCAUGAGGAUGACAUGCAAAUUUGUGAAGCGUUCCAUAUUUAA
Molecule: small nuclear RNA, 107 nt
Organism: Lepus europaeus (European hare)
Lineage: Eukaryota; Metazoa; Chordata; Mammalia; Lagomorpha; Leporidae
Source: RefSeq, a predicted model, not a curated record